ACUGGCUAUGAUGAAUGUUAUACCGCCCCAGUCUGAUGUUAGGUGACUGAGUGGUACAUUCUGAGCAUC
Pelobates cultripes (western spadefoot toad) is the source of this 69-nucleotide non-coding RNA. NCBI's taxonomy places the organism in Eukaryota, Metazoa, Chordata, Amphibia, Anura, Pelobatidae. The record is from the annotation of a GenBank genome assembly.